This is a long non-coding RNA of Oncorhynchus nerka (sockeye salmon), 1062 nucleotides long. RefSeq lists it as uncharacterized. NCBI's taxonomy places the organism in Eukaryota, Metazoa, Chordata, Actinopteri, Salmoniformes, Salmonidae. The transcript is spliced from 3 exons. The record is from RefSeq and is a predicted model, not a curated record.
GGAGGCUGUGCCACUGUCCUGUGCCAACCAUUGGAUGUCUUGAAGACCAGGCUGAUGAACUCAAAAGGGGAAUAUGUGGGCCUGCUACACUGUGUGAGAGAUACAGCUAAACUGGGGCCCAAUGCCUUCUACAAGGGUCUGGUUCCAGCAGGGAUCCGUCUCAUCCCUCACACGGUCCUCACGUUCAUCUUCCUGGAGCAGCUCAGAACCUGCUGCGGCAUCAGGAUCGUCACCUGAGAGGGGUCAGGGGUCACCACCUGAUCACCUAUUGAGUAGUCUGAAAUGUGACCUCUGCGUCAGGACUGCCAGGCCACGCCCAUUCCCUUUGUUCCCUGUUCUGUUCUAUGUGAGCAGGAAACUUUAAUCCACCUGCAACCUCCCCCAUCCUAAACCCCACCUUCUGGAUACAGACUAGUGACUGACUGAAGAAGGGGUUCUGGAUACAGACUAGUGACUGACUGAAUGGGGGUUUCUGGAUACAGACUAGUGACUGACUGAAGAAGGGGUUCUGGAUACAGACUAGUGACUGACUGAAUGGGGGUUCUGGAUACAGACUAGUGACUGACUGAAUGGGGGGUUCUGGAUACAGACUAGUGACUGACUGAAUGGGGGGUUCUGGAUACAGACUAGUGACUGACUGAAUGGGGGGUUCUGGAUACAGACUAGUGACUGACUGAAGAAGGGGUUCUGGAUACAGACUAGUGACUGACUGAAUGGGGGUUCUGGAUACAGACUAGUGACUGACUGAAUGGGGCUUCUGGAUACAGACUAGUGACUGACUGAAGGGGGGGUUCUGGAUACAGACUAGUGACUAACUGAAUGGGGGGUUCUGGAUACAGACUAGUGAAUGACUGAAUGGGGGGUUCUGGAUACAGACUAGUGACUGACUGAAGGAGGAGGAGGGGGGUUCUGGAUACAGACUAGUGACUGACUGACGGGUGGGGUUCUGGAUACAGACUAGUGACUGACUGACGGGUGGGGUUCUGGAUACAGACUAGUGACUGACUGAAGAAGGGGUUCUGGAUACAGACUAGUGACUGACUGAAUGGGGGGUUCUGGAUA